Molecule: ribosomal RNA, 273 nt
Filed under: uncultured bacterium
Lineage: Bacteria
Description: partial 16S ribosomal RNA
Rfam family: Bacterial small subunit ribosomal RNA
Source: RNAcentral
UACGUAGGUGACAAGCGUUGUCCGGAUUUACUGGGCGUAAAGAGCGCGCAGGCGGUCGUGCAAGUCGAGUGUGAAAGCCCCCGGCUCAACUGGGGAGGGUCACUCGAUACUGAUCGACUCGAAGGCAGGAGAGGGAAGCGGAAUUCCCGGUGUAGUGGUGAAAUGCGUAGAUAUCGGGAGGAACACCAGUGGCGAAGGCGGCUUCCUGGCCUGUUCUUGACGCUGAGGCGCGAAAGCUAGGGGAGCAAACGGGAUUAGAUACCCCAGUAGUCC